GCCGAGGGAGCUUGGGCUCGCUGUCGACUUAUCGGGGCAUCUCGACCUUAGUCGAGGAGGCGCUACGGGGGGUCGCGAAGGUACUAUCCCGUUGUCGAUGUCGAGCGCCACGGAGGGCCGCGAAGGUACUACCCCAUCUUUUCGAGGUCGAGGGAGCUUGGGUUCGCUGUCAACUUAUCGGGGCAUCUCGACCUUAGUCGAGGAGGCGCUACGG
This 214-nucleotide long non-coding RNA is filed under the name Phoenix dactylifera (date palm). RNAcentral describes it as "long non-coding RNA (PDAC_LNC006812)". Lineage: Eukaryota; Viridiplantae; Streptophyta; Magnoliopsida; Arecales; Arecaceae. The record is from RNAcentral.